Molecule: ribosomal RNA, 490 nt
Filed under: uncultured bacterium
Lineage: Bacteria
Description: bacterial SSU rRNA
Rfam family: Bacterial small subunit ribosomal RNA
Source: RNAcentral
GAUGAACGCUAGCUACAGGCUUAACACAUGCAAGUCGAGGGGCAUCACAGUGUAGCAAUACACGGGUGGCGACCGGCGCACGGGUGCGUAGCACGUAUCCAAUCUGCCCGUUACUCGGGGAUAGCCUUCUGAAAGGAAGAUUAAUACCCGAUGGCAUGUAUUUCCGGCAUCGGAGAUACAUUAAAGAUUUAUCGGUAACGGAUGAGGAUGCGUACGAUUAGCUUGUUGGCGGGGUAACGGCCCACCAAGGCUACGAUCGUUAGGGGUUCUGAGAGGAAGGUCCCCCACACUGGAACUGAGACACGGUCCAGACUCCUACGGGAGGCAGCAGUGAGGAAUAUUGGUCAAUGGUCUGACGACUGAACCAGCCAUGCCGCGUGAAGGUCACGGCCCUAUGGGUCUUAAACUUCUUUUGCGAGGGAGCAAUAAGGCGCACGUGUGCGUCGAUGAGAGUACCUCGCGAAUAAGCAUCGGCUAACUCCGUGCCAGC